AACGAACGCUGGCGGCAUGCCUAACACAUGCAAGUCGAACGAGACCUUCGGGUCUAGUGGCGCACGGGUGCGUAACGCGUGGGAACCUGCCCUUAGGUUCGGAAUAACUCCCCGAAAGGGGUGCUAAUACCGGAUAAUGUCUUCGGACCAAAGAUUUAUCGCCUUUGGAUGGGCCCGCGUUGGAUUAGCUAGUUGGUAGGGUAAAAGCCUACCAAGGCGACGAUCCAUAGCUGGUCUGAGAGGAUGAUCAGCCACUCUGGGACUGAGACACGGCCCAGACUCCUACGGGAGGCAGCAGUGGGGAAUAUUGGAAAAUGGGCGAAAGCCUGAUCCAGCAAUGCCGCGUGAGUGAUGAAGGCCUUAGGGUUGUAAAGCUCUUUUACCCGGGAUGAUAAUGACAGUACCGGGAGAAUAAGCUCCGGCUAACUCCGUG
RNAcentral lists this ribosomal RNA (433 nucleotides) under uncultured bacterium. RNAcentral's name for it is "partial 16S ribosomal RNA". It matches the Rfam family "Bacterial small subunit ribosomal RNA", at positions 29 to 507 of the family's 1533-position model. The record is from RNAcentral.